RNAcentral lists this ribosomal RNA (517 nucleotides) under uncultured Staphylococcus sp. RNAcentral's name for it is "bacterial SSU rRNA". It matches the Rfam family "Bacterial small subunit ribosomal RNA", at positions 8 to 507 of the family's 1533-position model. Lineage: Bacteria; Bacillati; Bacillota; Bacilli; Caryophanales; Staphylococcaceae. The record is from RNAcentral.
AGAGUUUGAUCCUGGCUCAGGAUGAACGCUGGCGGCGUGCCUAAUACAUGCAAGUCGAGCGAACAGAUAAGGAGCUUGCUCCUUUGAAGUUAGCGGCGGACGGGUGAGUAACACGUGGGUAACCUACCUAUAAGACUGGGAUAACUUCGGGAAACCGGAGCUAAUACCGGAUAACAUUUAGAACCGCAUGGUUCUAAAGUGAAAGAUGGUUUUGCUAUCACUUAUAGAUGGACCCGCGCCGUAUUAGCUAGUUGGUAAGGUAACGGCUUACCAAGGCGACGAUACGUAGCCGACCUGAGAGGGUGAUCGGCCACACUGGAACUGAGACACGGUCCAGACUCCUACGGGAGGCAGCAGUAGGGAAUCUUCCGCAAUGGGCGAAAGCCUGACGGAGCAACGCCGCGCGAGUGAUGAAGGGUUUCGGCUCGUAAAACUCUGUUAUUAGGGAAGAACAAAUGUGUAAGUAACUGUGCACAUCUUGACGGUACCUAAUCAGAAAGCCACGGCUAACUACGUG